CAUCCGACGCAGGAUAUGUCCCGGGGCAGCGCAGGACCCCCCUCCCUCUCCGUCCGCUUCUUCGGCGAUCAGAGGAGAGAGGGCCACGCGCGGGACACGCACGACCCUCCCGACUGCUGCCUGCUCCACAGAGGGAGUUUCCUUGGCCGCCCCCGAAAAGCUUUUGCCAUCUAGAAAUGGACUCGCAGGCUCGUCUCUUUAGGCUGGAAAACCUCUCACCGCACUUGCGUGAGAGCAAGUCCCGCUGAAGUCAGGGGAACUUACUUACGAGAGAGAGAGGAGAGAGGACCCUGAAACACACGCCACCUAUCUUUGUGGGGAGGGAUAAUUGAAGAGCGCCAAACGUGAGCAUCAUGUGGAAACGUGAUCGCCAAGUUUCUCUCUGGGAAAGGAAGGAUCUGGGAUAGAUUAUACCUUGAAGUCUCCGCGAACGCUUUAGUGGAAGAAAUGAAAUUCCACCUCCCUCUCUCUCUCCUCCUCCUCCUCCCCCCUCCCCUCCGCCUUUCCCUCCCUCUUUUCCACCCUCCCCUGGCCUGCCUGCCUCCUUCCCUCCCUCCCUCCCCAGCCAUCAAGUCUUUGGCAUCAUUAUCCUCUUCGCUAAAUCCUACUGGAUGCGAGGCGGAAAACGGUGAACACCAUUCACAGAACUAACCCAACUCAAAGGAACUGAAAGUUGCAAGGAGACACCCGGAGGCUGUGCGGUUCGCAUCCCGCAGGCUUGCUCGCAGCGCGCGGCUAUAGAGCAAUACGGGAUCUGCAGCAGGGAAAGAGAGAUCUAGGGAUCGUUUGUUUGUUUGUUUGUUUGUUUAUGGGCUUCCUCCCUCGAUUGCUUUUCCUUCGCGCCCCUUUCAAAUUGCAGAUGCCAGAGUGACGGGGCAGGCGGGGGAAAACAAAACAAAACUAUUCAUAAUAAAACUUAGGGGUAGAAAGGAAGACGCUGAAUUAGCGCUGAAGAUAUAUAACAAGUGGCCAAUGAACUCCGAGUCCUUAAAAAAAAUAAAUUAAAUUUAUGGGGCGUUUCAAAGCUGCUAAGCGCGCUUACUUCGAGGCAAAACCUUCUGCUGGAGAUAUAACUUUUACUUGAGAGUGAAUGCAGCGAGGAUCUCUCUCGCGUGUGUGUUAAUAAGUCCCUGCUGCUCUUUUUUGUGGGUGGGAGAGGGAAAUUUCGACAUUUUUCUCUUGGGGUGUAUGCAAAGGCUGAGAAUUGGGGGGGGAAAAUAUAUUUGCUUUCCCCCACCUUCUGUUCUCCUUUUACACUUGCAAGGAGAUAGUCAGAGGGGCAGUUAGGAAACAGAGAUAAUAUGUAUAGAGGAGUAUACGGGCGAAGUGCGGUGUAAAAAGACUCGGAACCCAUAAACAAGCAGACAAAAUAAAGGCAGAAUGCAUAUUCAGUGUAUGAAAUAUAUAGGUAGCUUUCACGGACUUUUGCAACUGUGGCUUUAAGCUUGUUUACUCGGAAGCAAAUCCCUCUGUGGUCAGUGGGGUUAGCAUCACAGUAACUGUUCUUUAGGAUUGCAGUCAAAGGUUUAGACAGAUUGACUUCUACCUGCACCAGUAUAUUAGAAUAUCACACACACACACACACACACACACUGAGAGAGAGAGAGAGAUAGAGACAGACAGACAGACACACACACACACACACACACACACACACACUCAGUGUCUAUCUCUUACACACAGAUGGCCCUUGAAGGGCAGAAAGUUGAGUGGGUAGCUUUGCAUUUCAUGGGGGUAACAAGUCUUUUUUGUGUGUGCGCUCGCGGAGAGGUGGGGGGGGGACUUUGGCAAAGAUUAAAAUGAAAAUUAAGCCCUGAGACUCCACCUUUGCACUGUGGGGAUUGGUUAUGCAAAUGGGGAAGGGAUUUCCUGGCGAAGGCAGCUUUCUACUGUAUGGUUAAUUAAAUCAUCACUCAAAAAGG
This is a long non-coding RNA of Podarcis muralis (Common wall lizard), 1922 nucleotides long. RefSeq lists it as uncharacterized. The record is from RefSeq and is a predicted model, not a curated record. Lineage: Eukaryota; Metazoa; Chordata; Lepidosauria; Squamata; Lacertidae.